ACAGGGUGACAGGUGGUGCAUGGUUGUCGUCAGCUCGUGUCGUGAGAUGUUGGGUUAAGUCCCGCAACGAGCGCAACCCUGACUUAGUUGCCAGCAUUCAGUUGGGCACUCUAAAGAGACUGCCGGUGUCAAACCGGAGGAAGGUGGGGAUGACGUCAAGUCCUCAUGGCCUUUAUGACCAGGGCUACACACGUACUACAAUGGCCGGUACAAAGGGCAGCGACACAGCGAUGUGAAGCGAAUCCCGAAAAGCCGGUCUCAGUCCGGAUUGGAGUCUGCAACUCGACUCCAUGAAGUUGGAAUCGCUAGUAAUCGCGGAUCAGCACGCCGCGGUGAAUACGUUCCCGGGCCUU
This 353-nucleotide ribosomal RNA is filed under the name uncultured Desulfocapsa sp. Its description in RNAcentral is "bacterial SSU rRNA". It matches the Rfam family "Bacterial small subunit ribosomal RNA", at positions 1026 to 1382 of the family's 1533-position model. The record is from RNAcentral. Lineage: Bacteria; Pseudomonadati; Thermodesulfobacteriota; Desulfobulbia; Desulfobulbales; Desulfocapsaceae.